AUUCUUUGGUGUCUGUGCAAAUACCUAUAUGUAGGCGAAACUAAAAACGACUUUCGGACAAGACUGAAUCAACAUAGGUACUCAAUCAGAAAAAAACGUGUAGACCUCCCUGUGUCCAAACACUUCAUUGAAGCUGGACACACGGAGGCCGAUCUUAAAUGCAUGAUUGUUGAUCAUAUUCCUCCCCCCAAAAUAGGGGGUGAUAGAAUAGCUCUCCGGCAAGUCAGAGAACUCAAGUGGAUCCACAACCUGAAUACACUCAAACCCAAUGGGCUCAAUGUUGAGUUCACUGUGCUACCUAAAAUGUUGAAGCGUUAAUGGGUCUAGCCCGAGAUGUUGGUGUACAUCAACCCUGCUUAAGGUGAAUAGUGAUCAAUUCCUGUAAUUAACUUGACUUAUUUCUUUUUAGUUCACAUGCCUUCCAGGUACCUGCCUUGAUGUCAAGCCACGCCACAAGCUUCAUCUUACAUACUAUCGCAUUCUAACUUUGACUCUUCUACCCCUGUGGAGACAGCAUACAACCAUCACUUUAUAUAUUCUUCUCUUUGGUGACGUGCUUUACAGACCACCAUCAUACGGAUAUCGGUCCAAAUACACCGAUGCAAGAUUGCUCCACAGACGAGGACGAAUUUAUGGCUCCGGUUCAUGCACACCGUUUGCUAGUUUGCCAGUCGGUUACCAUGGGCAACCACGAGAUAGUGAUUCUUCACUAUAUGGCUCCUAUAUUGGAAGAAUGAGGACCAGCGAUUGCAGCAAACUACUUUCUCUACUUAAUCAUCUAUAUCCCCCACUGUGAUACAUUGUGCUGUCCCCAGGAGCGAUACUUUUUCUUGCGCAUACAUCUAGAUCACACCUACCUCAUAUGAACUCUCUAUACCAGGCGCUUGAAUAUCUUGUACGGAUACACAGAAAGACUCUUCUGAGCAUAUGCUGGUCACGGCUCACUCCGGAGUCGGGUCUCUAUGGAUACGAGGACGCGCUCUCCCGACCCGGAAGUACUUCUUUUCUGCUGCGAUGCACAUUACACACACGGCGCUUUGGCGCCAGGGAUCAGGAAACCUCGUGGCGGGACCGCUGAAGGCAUU
Molecule: long non-coding RNA, 1085 nt
Organism: Hyla sarda
Lineage: Eukaryota; Metazoa; Chordata; Amphibia; Anura; Hylidae
Exons: 3
Source: RefSeq, a predicted model, not a curated record